UGUUGUUUUGUCCCAGUCCUUCUGCUUCCUGUCUUUUACAGCUGGGUUGUCAACUACCCAAUUAAUAACUUAAUUUUAUUUAGGCAAGGGCUCACUCCGCUCAUGCUGUAUGUUUUGGGUCGCUAUGCUGCUGUUGGACCUAUGAGCUGUUGCUGAGGUUGAGGUUUCUGACACUGGGCAGGAUGUUUGGCUGCAUGAAGUCUUGGCAGUCAAUAAGACUUCAUUGUGCUCUGCUGAAAUUCAAGGUUCUCCAUGCCAGUUCAUCUUCCCAGGAGAAGCCAGCCUCAGCGGGAGAGGCAUAAUCCGAUGACAAGGCUGUCUGCCAGCCUGCUAACUCCAUGAUUGUUUCCAGACAAGUGUUGUUGCCCUCUGGACAGCACGUCUCUCCGUUCUAGAGUAAUGGCCAAUUACCAGGAGGCAGUUUGUUGAAAGGAUGCUGCCAGGAACUACAUCUGCCUUCAAACAGCGAUCGGAUCCAAACAUAUGCUCUGGAACAAACUACCUUCAAAAGAUGAAGCGCAUUCACUAACCAGAGUUGCCUUCAGAAGCGAGUGUUGAGAAAAGUCUAAGCUGUGGAUGACAUGGUAGUGGGGAUUUAUUUGUUUAUUUGUGUAGAUAUUGUUUACUAGGUUGGGAUGAAUAAAUGGCUGGCAUAAGGUUUUGGACAGAAAUAAGUAUUUGAUUAAAGGAACAUCUUUUUUUAUUGUUAUUCCUUUUUCUCAGUUCAGUUCAGGUCUUUGAAAUGUGUCAGUCAGAUGUAACAUUUUAGUCCGAAAUAUUACAGCUUUAUUAAACACCAACUGAAAUCUACAGUAACAUCACUGAUUAACAUGCCAAAUAAAUUAUUUACAUCUACCAUGUAAUAAUUAUCUUUUGCAAUAUUGCAAUUGUAUAAUUGGUAAAGAGUGUCAUUAUGUGGUUCUUGGAUCAGGAGUUCUAUCUGUAGUCUUAAUUUUAGGCAGAGUCAGCUCCAAAUGCGCCACUUGUACAGCUGCAUAGCAGGUCCUUCGUUAUAAAGAAAGGCUCUGCUGUAUGUGUUUAACUUGAGAUGCCCUGUCCAGUGUAUUUGAUAAUAAUUGGAUCUUACAUAAAUUCACAAGUUUUUCAA
This is a long non-coding RNA of Xiphophorus hellerii (green swordtail), 1108 nucleotides long. RefSeq lists it as uncharacterized. NCBI's taxonomy places the organism in Eukaryota, Metazoa, Chordata, Actinopteri, Cyprinodontiformes, Poeciliidae. The record is from RefSeq and is a predicted model, not a curated record. The transcript has 3 exons.